GCUAAGGAUCUUUUCAGAUCCACACACUUAAAGGAACGUAUCCUUU
Steinernema glaseri is the source of this 46-nucleotide non-coding RNA. Lineage: Eukaryota; Metazoa; Nematoda; Chromadorea; Rhabditida; Steinernematidae. The record is from Rfam.